AGAGUUUGAUCCUGGCUCAGGAUGAACGCUGGCGACAGGCUUAACACAUGCAAGACGAGGGGCAGCGGUGGUGAAGGCUUGCCUUUACCAGCCAGGCGACCGAGCGCACGGGGUGAGUAACACGUACGCAACCUGCCUGCCACAGCCGGAUAAUCGGGAGAAAUUCCGUCUAAUACGGCAUAAUGCACCUAUGGGACAUCCUGUUGGUUCAAAGGAGCGAUCCGGCUGCGGAUGGUCAUGCGGCGCAUUAGCUAGUUGGCGGGGCAACGGCCCACCAAGGCGACGAUGCGUAGGGGUUCUGAGAGGAAGGUCCCCCACACUGGUACUGAGACACGGACCAGACUCCUACGGGAGGCAGCAGUGAGGAAUAUUGGUCAAUGGCCGAGAGGCUGAACCAGCCAAGUCGCGUGAGGGAUGACGGCCCUACGGGUUGUAAACCUCUUUUGCCGGGGAGCAAAGAGCGGGACGCGUCCCGCCUCGAGAGUACCCGGAGAAAAAGCAUCGGCUAACUCCGUGCCAGCAGCCGCGGUAAUACGGAGGAUGCGAGCGUUAUCCGGAUUUAUUGGGUUUAAAGGGUGCGCAGGCGGAAGCGCAAGUCAGCGGUAAAAUUGAGAGGCUCAACCUCUUCCCGCCGUUGAAACUGCGUUUCUUGAGUGGGCGAGAAGUACGCGGAAUGCGUGGUGUAGCGGUGAAAUGCAUAGAUAUCACGCAGAACUCCGAUUGCGAAGGCAGCGUACCGGCGCCCAACUGACGCUCAUGCACGAAAGCGUGGGUAUCGAACAGGAUUAGAUACCCUGGUAGUCCACGCAGUAAACGAUGAAUACUCGCUGUCCGGGGAGAUUGGUCUCUGGGCGGCCAAGCGAAAGCGUUAAGUAUUCCACCUGGGGAGUACGCCGGCAACGGUGAAACUCAAAGGAAUUGACGGGGGCCCGCACAAGCGGAGGAACAUGUGGUUUAAUUCGAUGAUACGCGAGGAACCUUACCCGGGCUCAAACGACGGAUGAAUACUUUUGAAAGGAGGUAGUCCUUCGGGACAUCCGUCGAGGUGCUGCAUGGUUGUCGUCAGCUCGUGCCGUGAGGUGUCGGCUUAAGUGCCAUAACGAGCGCAACCCCCAUCGCCAGUUGCCAACAGGUAAAGCUGGGAACUCUGGCGAGACUGCCGGCACAAGCUGUGAGGAAGGCGGGGAUGACGUCAAAUCAGCACGGCCCUUACGUCCGGGGCGACACACGUGUUACAAUGGCAGGUACAGAGAGAUGCGACACGGCGACGUGGAGCGGAACUGUCAAAACCUGUCUCAGUUCGGAUCGGAGUCUGCAACCCGACUCCGUGAAGCUGGAUUCGCUAGUAAUCGCGCAUCAGCCAUGGCGCGGUGAAUACGUUCCCGGGCCUUGCACACACCGCCCGUCA
This 1408-nucleotide ribosomal RNA is filed under the name uncultured bacterium. Its description in RNAcentral is "16S ribosomal RNA". It matches the Rfam family "Bacterial small subunit ribosomal RNA". The record is from RNAcentral.